Molecule: ribosomal RNA, 445 nt
Filed under: Lancefieldella rimae
Lineage: Bacteria; Bacillati; Actinomycetota; Coriobacteriia; Coriobacteriales; Atopobiaceae
Description: bacterial SSU rRNA
Rfam family: Bacterial small subunit ribosomal RNA
Source: RNAcentral
GAUGAACGCUGGCGGCGCGCCUAACACAUGCAAGUCGAACGGUUAAAGCACCUUUUAGGUGUGUAUAAAGUGGCGAACGGCUGAGUAACACGUGGGCAACCUGCCCUUCUCUUGGGGAUAGCCUCGGGAAACCGAGGAUAAUACCCGAUACUUCAAUGUGGCCGCAUGGCGACAUUGAGAAAGCUUUUGCGGAGAAGGAUGGGCCCGCGGCCUGUUAGCUUGUUGGUGGGGUAGAGGCCUACCAAGGCAAUGAUGGGUAGCUGGGUUGAGAGACCGACCAGCCAGAUUGGGACUGAGACACGGCCCAGACUCCUACGGGAGGCAGCAGUGGGGAAUCUUGCACAAUGGGCGAAAGCCUGAUGCAGCGACGCCGCGUGCGGGACGAAGGCCUUCGGGUUGUAAACCGCUUUCAGCAGGGACGAGGCGAUAAGUGACGGUACCUGCA